Non-coding RNA from Acidobacteria bacterium 13_2_20CM_56_17, 218 nucleotides. The record is from Rfam. Lineage: Bacteria; Pseudomonadati; Acidobacteriota.
AAAUUCUUACGAGAAAGGAGUAGCGAUCCGCUCGGCCCUGAGUCUUGCGCUGCUACCGUGAGGGACUCAGCGAAGCGUAGACAGGGGGAUAGGCGGGGUGGGCGAUCGAGCUUCGAAAAGAUGCAAUCCGGACGCCGACGUCUUUGUAAUGGGCGGAAGGCAACAUGAACAGGCGCGCUAGCGCGAGCUCCUGUUCGGUCCGGCGUAGUCGAAGACCC